Molecule: long non-coding RNA, 2456 nt
Filed under: Mytilus galloprovincialis (Mediterranean mussel)
Lineage: Eukaryota; Metazoa; Mollusca; Bivalvia; Mytilida; Mytilidae
Source: RNAcentral
CUUGACCUUUCAGGUCAGGUGAGCUAAAAACAUGAUUAUGCUUUAACUUAUUGACAACAUUAACUAACAAAUAAUCACAUCUGACACAUACUGAUAUUUUUCUUUAUCCUGCAAUCAGCCUUAUAUUGUACAAAUAACAGGUAUAUGAAUAAAUGUUUGCUAUAUUUGUACAUGUACAUGUACAAAUGUACAAAUAAAGUCUCCUGUUACCUGCUUUGACUUUGAGCAAGCAGUAAGACGGAUUUUUCUUUCUGGGUAACAGUUCAUUUUGGGGUCCUCUUCGCGGUCCGUGUUUCAACUAUGUCGAUUUCUUUGAAAAAUCAAAAGCAAUGAUUUCGAUUUGAACAGCUAACCUAAAGUACCGGGUGUAAAUUGCAAGAUAAAAACAAUAUAUGUACAUUGUCUGAAAAUAUAAAAUUUAUUUGUACUCGCUACGAAACAGGAGAAAAGCUCGGCACAGCCUCACUUUUCAUCAUGUUUCUAAAGCUCGUACAAAUAAAUUUGAUAUUUUCCGACAAGGUACAUAUAUUAUUACGCAUAUGUAUUAGUAAUACAAGUUCAUAAAGUCAUGGCUUUCUAUAAGAGGCAUCCAAUGAAACGUAACUUCUACAUUACUUGCAUUUUGUGACAUCAAUGCUAAGUAAUAGAAUAACUUCUUGGAGCCUCUAGUGAAUCAAUGCUAAGUAAUAGAAUAACUUCUUGGAGCCUCUAGUUUCACAUUUGGUAUUAUUAAGUAUGAUGGAAUGAUUAAAUAGGGAUUUUUCUAAACAUGAGUUAAGAAGACAUUACAGAAAUCAAUGAAUGAUAAAACAUAUAUACUUGGAUAUGCAAUGUAAAGGUUGACAAAAUGCAAUUAUAUGAACACUUCUGACAGGUGCUAAGUAAAUGUUUCAGUUGUAGGUAGAUUUACAGAAAUACAAGUAAAUAAAGAUUAUCAAGAUUCAACCUGUUUCCUAAAAUUAUGAACAAACAAUUUAUUUGGCAGUGAUUACUUUUGUGUAUGAAAAGGUUAACAGCCUAUAAAAAAACAAUAGUAAUUCUUAUUAGAAUGAUAUACUUAAUUUCAGAAGCUAAAUGUAGAAGUUAUGAUAAGCUUAAAGCAAAAAAAAAUACAACUGGACAAAAUAUAGCACUUUAAGUUACAUUUUAUAUACUGGUAUUCAGAGCAGUAAAUAAAGGUAUGAACAAUAUUAGAUAUCAUAGUUGUUGGAAGAUUUGUUAUAUAUACUAUAAUGGAGCAUUAAUUUGUAAAUUUUAACUGAAUUUUACUCAUUUUUAAUUGGAGAAUAAAGUCAUACAUUUACAACUGGAAUGUGUUAAUGGUGGGUCUCAUUGGGGUCUAAGCGUGACGCGGGAUUGCCGAUUUUUUGUAAGCGGGACAUGUGAAAGUCAAAUUAUUGUGUCGUGAAAACGGGAAAUGAGGUCUAGCGGGACCCGGGAAAUGACAAAAACGAGAAUUGCUUACGUACAUAGUGUAAGCGGGAUACGGGAAUCUGACAAAACAGUAAGCGGGAUCCGGGAUCGGAACCCCCCAAUGAAACCCCUUAAUGAAGAGAAAUGUAAAUUAGUUGAGAUACAAUACCCUAUGAACCAACCUAUGGUAAAGUUAAAUCUAAAUCAUCCAACAGUUGAAGAUUUUCUUAUACACUGUGGGAAAACAGUUUUAAAUGCUUUUGUAUUGCUUUUGAAAUAAACAGUGCUAAAUUAAGAGUAGUAAUGCAAUAUCCAGCAAAGCAAUUCUUAUUUCAAUGACUUGUAAUUCCUAUCACAAAUCCUGUAACAUUCUGAGCCAUUUCAAUGAAUUAAAAUAAUAAGAUUAUAUAUCAUAUGGAAAAUGAUAAGAGGAAUUAUGAAGAACAAGAAUAUCAAUAAAUACAGGGUUUGUGUGAAGAACUUAUGAGAAUUUCGUUGUACAUCAACCUCUACAACCAAAUUCUAGAAGGGUAAUUCAUAAAUUUUAAGAAAAAGAUAAACUGAUCUGUCAUAAUUAACAAAUAUUGUUAAAUAAAACUUAACUUAUAACUAAUUAUAAUUAAAAGCUAGGGGCUACGUUAAUUUUGAUGUCAUGGGUUAAUUCUUUGGCUAAUCAUUUAAUACCUUUAAACAACUGUAAAGAUGAAGAGCUGCAAUUUAAUAAGCUGUACUUUUCAUCUACUACUGAAUCAAGUUCUAAAAAAUACUUGUGCACUUCAUACAGUCAGAUUUUAAAGCUAAUCAUUGUGGAAUAAAUGGCCAAUCGGCAGAAAUGAAGACAAUUUGAUGUAAUUGACAUUAAUUAAAUAUGUUACAACAAGCAAACAAUAUGUUGAUUAUAAGAAAGACAGAAAAUUGAGACCAUUUUGUUCCCAAAUUCCCAAAAUCUAAAUAAAUAUAACAAAGACUUAUUCACCUCAAAAAAUUAUUCAGAUCAAUAAAAUACAACAUAAUAAUGUAAGCAAGAUUUUGUGAAAGUUUCU